AGUGAACGCUGGCGGUAGGCCUAACACAUGCAAGUCGAACGGCGGCACAGUAAGAGCGUUCUCUUACGGGUGGCGAGUAGCGGAUGGGUGAGGAGUACGCCGUAAGCUACGUAUUCGUGGGUGAGAGCGGAGGAAAACUUACGCUAAUACCUCAGACGAGCUACGGGUGAAAGCAGGCGAUCUUCGGACCUCGCGCGAGUGAAUGAUCCGAUGUCGGAUGAGUUAGUUGGCGGUGUAAAGGCCCACCAAGGCGACGAUCGGUAGCUGGUCUGAGAGGAUGAUCACCGGCACUGGAGCUGAGACACGGACCAGAGUACUAAGAGAGGGAGCAGUGGGGAAUAUUGGACAAUGGGCGGGAACCUGAUACAGCGAUAGCGAGUGGGUGGAGAAGGCCUUGGGGUUGUAAAGACGUUUUGUUGGGAAAGAAACGCAGCAGGUUAAUAAGAAGCUGUUCUGACGGUACCCGAAGAAUAAGCACCGGCUAACUUCGUG
RNAcentral lists this ribosomal RNA (492 nucleotides) under uncultured bacterium. RNAcentral describes it as "partial 16S ribosomal RNA". It matches the Rfam family "Bacterial small subunit ribosomal RNA", at positions 30 to 507 of the family's 1533-position model. The record is from RNAcentral.